UACGGGGGGGGCAAGCGUUGUUCGGAAUUACUGGGCGUAAAGGGCUCGUAGGCGGCCAACUAAGUCAGACGUGAAAUCCCCAGGCUCAACUUGGGAACUGCGUCUGAUACUGGAUGGCUUGAGUUCGGGAGAGGGAUGCGGAAUUCCAGGUGUAGCGGUGAAAUGCGUAGAUAUCUGGAGGAACACCGGUGGCGAAGGCGGCAUCCUGGACCGACACUGACACUGAGGAGCGAAAGCCAGGGGAGCAAACGGG
Molecule: ribosomal RNA, 253 nt
Filed under: uncultured bacterium
Lineage: Bacteria
Description: partial 16S ribosomal RNA
Rfam family: Bacterial small subunit ribosomal RNA
Source: RNAcentral